RNAcentral lists this ribosomal RNA (242 nucleotides) under uncultured bacterium. RNAcentral describes it as "partial 16S ribosomal RNA". It matches the Rfam family "Bacterial small subunit ribosomal RNA", at positions 535 to 776 of the family's 1533-position model. The record is from RNAcentral.
CUAGCGUUGUUCGGAAUUACUGGGCGUAAAGCGCACGUAGGCGGCUUUGUAAGUUAGAGGUGAAAGCCUGGGGCUCAACUCCAGAACUGCCUUUAAGACUGCAUCGCUUGAAUCAUGGAGAGGCGGGUGGAAUUCCGAGUGUAGAGGUGAAAUUCGUAGAUAUUCGGAAGAACACCAGUGGCGAAGGCGGCCCGCUGGACAUGUAUUGACGCUGAGGUGCGAAAGCGUGGGGAGCAAACAGG